This is a long non-coding RNA of Clupea harengus (Atlantic herring), 546 nucleotides long. The record is from Ensembl. NCBI's taxonomy places the organism in Eukaryota, Metazoa, Chordata, Actinopteri, Clupeiformes, Clupeidae.
GUUGCUAGGUAGUCAUGGUGGUUGCUAGGUAGUCAUGGUGGUUUCUAUGCUUGUCGCCAGGGCGUUGCUAGGUAGUCAUGGUGGUUGCUAGGUAGUCAUGGUGGUUGCUAUGCUUGUCGUUAGGGCGUUGCUAGGUAGUCAUGGUGGUUGCUAGGUAGUCAAACUGGUUCUUAGGUAGUCAUGGUGGUUGCUAGGUAGUCAUGGUGUUUGCUAUGCUUCUCGCUAGGGCGUUGCUAGGUAGUCAUGGUGGUUGCAAGGUAGUGUCGUGGAAAAUUCUAAAAGCUUCUCAAGAAACUUCUUAUGGCAAACAGGUGUGAAGAUACUGAACAGUUUAUUUCAGCGUAGUUACCUGCUGCUGAGCUGGUCCAUGGAACAUCUAAAAAAAACACUAAGCUUGAGGCAAGAGCCAUCAGGCAGACUAAUUGAGGACAAAGCCUCCCGAACUCCUUUUAUAGAUCUUACCCACAUCUUUUCUUCCUUGUACACCUGCCCUUGUUUACCCAAUCAGUUUGACCACAUUGAGACUCUUUGUUCUUUUUAACAGUU